This 58-nucleotide transfer RNA is filed under the name Bos taurus (domestic cattle). It matches the Rfam family "tRNA", at positions 8 to 63 of the family's 71-position model. Rfam says of the family: Transfer RNA (tRNA) molecules are approximately 80 nucleotides in length. Their secondary structure includes four short double-helical elements and three loops (D, anti-codon, and T loops). RNAcentral also lists the same sequence under 3 other names. The record is from Rfam by way of RNAcentral. Lineage: Eukaryota; Metazoa; Chordata; Mammalia; Artiodactyla; Bovidae.
UGGUCUAGUGGUUAAGACUCUGUGCUCCUAACACAGGGGGCCCAGGUUUGAUCCCUGG